CAGCAGCCGCGGUAAUACGUAUGGGUGCAGACUUAUUCGGAUUUACUGGGCGUAAAGGGUGUGCAGACGGUAUGCUAAGUUCGUUGUUUAAUCUUCCGGCCUAACCGGAAGCUUGCGAUGAAAACUGGUAAACUAGAGGGUGGAAGAGAGAAGCGGAAUUCUCGGAGUAGCGGUAAAAUGCGUAGAUCUCGAGAGGAACACCGAUGGCGAAGGCAGCUUCUUGGUCCAUCCCUGACGUUGAGACACGAAAGCGUGGGUAGCAAACAGGAUUAGAUACCCUGGUAGUCCACGCUGUAAACGAUGAUCACUGGGAUGUUGGUAUCGCUCUGCGAUAUCAGUAUCGAAGCUAACGCGUUAAGUAUCCGCCUGGGAAGUACGGUCCGCAAGAUUAAAACUCAAAGGAAUUGACGGGGGUCCGCACAAGCGGUGGAACAUGUGGUUUAAUUCGACACUACGCGAGAAACCUUACCUGGGCUUGACAUGCUCUUGCCCGCCAUGGAAACAUGGUUUUCUGAAUUUCGGUUCAGACGGGAGUACAGGUGCUGCAUGGCUGUCGUCAGCUCGUGUCGUGAAAUGUUUGGUUAAGUCCUCUAACGAGCGCAACCCCUGCUGCUAGUUGCUAUUGCGUAAGCAAGCACUCUAGUGGGACUGCCUGGGAAACCAGGAGGAAGGUGGGGAUGACGUCAAGUCAUCAUGGUCCUUAUGUCCAGGGCUACACACGUGUUACAAUGGCCGAUACAAAGGGGUGCAAUAUCGCGAGAUGGAGCUAAUCCCAGAAAGUCGGUCUAAGUUCGGAUUGGAGUCUGCAAUUCGACUCCAUGAAGUUGAAAUCGCUAGUAAUCGUAUAUCAUAACGAUACGGUGAAUACGUUCUCAGACCUUGUACACACCGCCCGUCACACCACGAAAGCUGUUUGUACCCGUAGCUAUUUAAGCCAACCCGCAAGGGAAGGAAGGGUUGCAGGGUAUAAUCAGCGAUCGGGGUGAAGUCGUAACAAGGUAACCGUA
Molecule: ribosomal RNA, 1007 nt
Filed under: uncultured bacterium CLEAR-25
Lineage: Bacteria
Description: bacterial SSU rRNA
Rfam family: Bacterial small subunit ribosomal RNA
Source: RNAcentral